Argiope bruennichi is the source of this 476-nucleotide long non-coding RNA. RefSeq lists it as uncharacterized. The transcript has 3 exons. The record is from RefSeq and is a predicted model, not a curated record. NCBI's taxonomy places the organism in Eukaryota, Metazoa, Arthropoda, Arachnida, Araneae, Araneidae.
CUUAUUCAGUGUAUAAUGUGACGCAAGUGGAACACGCAUAUCUUCAAUUUAUAUCUCCAUGCUUUAUCCCGUUGUUCAUGAUGUAUUUUACGUCAUUACGGCCAAAGAAAAAGAAUUGGAUAUCGUCUUUUCAAACAGCAUUUUCUCGAGAUUUGCUGCUCCAAAACAUUUAAAAAAAGGAAAAUGAUGUUUGAAAACAAAUUAAAAAUGCGUAACAUUUUAACCAGGUCAGAAUUUAUUCGAAGAACUCUAAUAGUUAUUUAUGAAAUACUAAAACGUUAUUACGGAAAUGUAUGCUUUUAUAGAAUACUAUUCUUAUUUUUUCCUCGCAGUCAUAUGAUUCAAUUAUAAUCAACGAAAGUUUUAUGUGAAUUUUUCCAAGUAUUUAAAACAUAUAAGACAAUAGAUGAUAAAGAUGAGCAUAAUCAUUUCUAAAAACGGAACUUUACAUUUGGGAAUGAUAUGAAUCUUAUAGG